Molecule: long non-coding RNA, 697 nt
Filed under: Physcomitrium patens
Lineage: Eukaryota; Viridiplantae; Streptophyta; Bryopsida; Funariales; Funariaceae
Description: long non-coding RNA (PPAT_LNC006690)
Source: RNAcentral
AUGUUUGUCCACCUGGACAUAUGUCGGUCAUGUUGGGCUUCUACUUUCUGUGUAGGGCUAGUUGAGCCAUGCUCAGGGUGUAGCAUGUUUAUUGAUUGUUCCAAUCAACUUAUGGGGCCAUUUCGGUUUCAAAAAUAGUUUGGAACUGAGCUUUAUUAUUUAUUUAAGCCUAAGCCUUUUGAGCAACUUUUCUAUCACUAUAUAAUUUUAUCGUGAAACGUGUUGUCUAUGAUAGGAUGGUAUUUGCUUUAAUUGCAUUCUGCCAUUCGACUAAGAGGAGCAGUUUUUCGUCCUUGAUCAUGAGCAAGUAUCAGCAGAAUGCAGGUGUAUGUUGUAUUUUAGUCUGUCUUGGUUGUAGGCAAACAAAGGUGGGUGAUUGAUCUGAGACAUUCGCAAGCAUUGGCUUGAUUGAUGUUUGUCCGUCAAUCUGGAUUAAUGUGUGAUUCAAAUAAAACCUAUCCAAUCUAGAGCAAAUCAUCAAAAAUGAGGCUUGUCGAUUAUCCCAAAAUUGUUUCUGGGAUGUUUUCCUGAACUCGUCAACUCUGUAACAGUCUUGCAGCCUAAAAUGGACUGGGAGAGCUCUCCAUGCUGUGAAUUCUCUUUGCCUUCUCCCAAUUGUUGGUUGUCCACCCAUUUUAUCAUCGAGGUCUUCGAUCAUGUUGAAGUCCUUGGCAAGUAUCCAAUUUUCUUGUGGGAG